RNAcentral lists this unclassified non-coding RNA (114 nucleotides) under uncultured fungus. Its description in RNAcentral is "sequence contains ITS1". The record is from RNAcentral. Lineage: Eukaryota; Fungi.
AACUCUCAUGCCAUUUUAUCGACGAUGAGAACAACGUGCCCGGUGAUACACCUUCAAAAUUAAGCGUAGAUGGCAAAUGGAAAACUUGCCUGCACGGCUUUCUUAAUUUCAAUG